This 279-nucleotide unclassified non-coding RNA is filed under the name plant metagenome. RNAcentral's name for it is "partial contains small subunit ribosomal RNA, internal transcribed spacer 1, and 5.8S ribosomal RNA". The record is from RNAcentral.
UUUCCGUAGGUGAACCUGCGGAAGGAUCAUUACUGAGUUACAGCCCCUCGGGGUCCAACCUCCCACUCGUGUUUUACGAACCUGGUUGCUUCGGCGGGCCCGCGUCACGGCCACCGCCGCGCAUGUGCCCCCGGGCCCGCGCCCGCCGAAACAACAUCAGAACGCUGAGUGAAGUACGCAGUCAGAGACAAUUAUUAAAUUAAAUAAAACAUUCACAAACGGAUCUCUUGGUUCCGUCAUCGACGAAGAACGCAGAAGAUAGGAAGAGCACACGCGUUA